This 408-nucleotide ribosomal RNA is filed under the name uncultured bacterium. Its description in RNAcentral is "partial 16S ribosomal RNA". It matches the Rfam family "Bacterial small subunit ribosomal RNA", at positions 28 to 526 of the family's 1533-position model. The record is from RNAcentral.
GACGAACGCUGGCGGCGUGCUUAACACAUGCAAGUCGAACGAAGUGGCGAACGGGUGAGUAACGCGUAAUCAACCUGCCCUUCAGAGGGGGACAACAGUUGGAAACGACUGCUCAUACCGCAUACUGAAGGAGGGGCUUGCGUGUGAUUAGCUAGGUGGCGGGGUAACGGCCCACCAAGGCGAUGAUCAGUAGCCGGUUGGGGAGGAUGAACGGCCACAAUGGGACUGAGACACGGCCCAGACUCCUACGGGAGGCAGCAGGGGGGGAUCUUCCGCAAUGGAGGAAAGUCUGACGGAGCAACGCCGCGUGAGUGAUGACUGGCUUCGGGUUGUAAAGCUCUGUUAAUCGGGACGCGGUACCGGAAUAGAAAGCCACGGCUAACUACGUGCCAGCAGCCGCGGUAAUUC